GAUGAAGAACGUAGCGAAAUGCGAUAAGUAAUGUGAAUUGCAGAAUUCAGUGAAUCAUCGAAUCUUUGAACGCACCUUGCACUCCUUGGUAUUCCGAGGAGUACGCCUGUUCGAGUGUUAUGAAGCUCUCAAAACGCAAUUGGCUUAAAACCUGAUUGUUGUGUUGGAUUUGAACUUUGCCGUGUUAUAACGGCUGGUUUUAAAAGUAUUAGCUGGUACUAGAACGAAUUGGUUCUACUCAACGUGAUAAUUAUCUGAUCGUUGAGGACAUUCCUUUCACGAGGAAUGGCCAUAGUAAAUUCAAUGGACUGCUUCUAAUCUGGCUUUAAUUCUUUAUUGGAUUAACCACUUUUCAAAUCUGACCUCGAAUCAGGUGGGACUACCCGCUGAACUUAAGCAUAUCAAUAAGCGGAGGA
Molecule: unclassified non-coding RNA, 416 nt
Filed under: soil metagenome
Description: partial contains 5.8S ribosomal RNA, internal transcribed spacer 2, and large subunit ribosomal RNA
Rfam family: 5.8S ribosomal RNA (bases 1-120)
Source: RNAcentral